CCCUUAGAUGUUCUGGGCUGCACGCGCGCUACACUGAUGCGCUCAACGAGUUUAUGACCUUGCCCGGAAGGGUUGGGUAAUCUUCUUAAAACGCAUCGUGACGGGGAUAGAUUAUUGCAAUUAUUAAUCUUCAACGAGGAAUUCCUAGUAAGCGCGAGUCAUCAGCUCGUGCUGAUUACGUCCCUGCCCUUUGUACACACCGCCCGUCGCUACUACCGAUUGAAUGGUUUAGUGAGAUCUCCGGAUUGGCUCUGUAGGUCCCGCAAGGGAUUUAUUAGUAGCCAAGAAGCUGCUCAAACUUGAUCAUUUAGAGGAAGUAAAAGUCGUAACA
This 331-nucleotide ribosomal RNA is filed under the name uncultured eukaryote. RNAcentral describes it as "partial 18S ribosomal RNA". It matches the Rfam family "Eukaryotic small subunit ribosomal RNA", at positions 1470 to 1796 of the family's 1831-position model. The record is from RNAcentral.